AUAAGAACAAGAUAUAGCACAACCCAUGGGCAUGCACAUAUCAUAAUAGAAGCAACCGUUCGCGAAACACCCCAACAAGUGAAAACAAUCCGGAUGAACCGGCAACAAACGAAAGGCCGAUUCAAUAUCCGAUUUUGCCAAUAAAGCCCCACGACCGGCCCGCCGCAGGAGGAGCAAGGCCGAGUCGAAGGACGCAUAACGCACCCUGCACGCAUCCCUGUCGAUGUCAUCGUUGACCGAUGCCCCCGAAGGGUACGAGAGAUGGUGAAUCAACCGAAAAGUUCCCGGGUCUUUUUUGGGUACCAGACCCAACGGAGACACCCUCAGGUUGUGGAAUGGGGGGAAUCAAAGGGACCGGCCAUGCGGCCCAGUUGAAUCUCCGCCUCCAGCUUUUCCUGCAAUAAACCCUCCCUACCCCGCGUGGACCGAAGAUUCCCAGCAAACCGG
Pelobates cultripes (western spadefoot toad) is the source of this 447-nucleotide non-coding RNA. NCBI's taxonomy places the organism in Eukaryota, Metazoa, Chordata, Amphibia, Anura, Pelobatidae. The record is from the annotation of a GenBank genome assembly.